This 256-nucleotide ribosomal RNA is filed under the name uncultured archaeon. Its description in RNAcentral is "partial 16S ribosomal RNA". It matches the Rfam family "Bacterial small subunit ribosomal RNA", at positions 521 to 776 of the family's 1533-position model. The record is from RNAcentral.
UAAUACGGAGGGUGCAAGCGUUAAUCGGAAUUACUGGGCGUAAAGCGUGCGCAGGCGGUUUGUUAAGUCUGUUGUGAAAUCCCCGAGCUCAACUUGGGAAUUGCAAUGGAUACUGGCAGGCUCGAGUAUGGUAGAGGAAGGUGGAAUUCCCGGUGUAGCAGUGAAAUGCGUAGAGAUCGGGAGGAACACCAGUGGCGAAGGCGGCCUUCUGGACCAAUACUGACGCUCAUGCACGAAAGCGUGGGGAGCAAACAGG